Molecule: ribosomal RNA, 242 nt
Filed under: uncultured Staphylococcus sp.
Lineage: Bacteria; Bacillati; Bacillota; Bacilli; Caryophanales; Staphylococcaceae
Description: partial 16S ribosomal RNA
Rfam family: Bacterial small subunit ribosomal RNA
Source: RNAcentral
GGCGACGGGUGAGUAACACGUGGAUAACCUACCUAUAAGACUGGGAUAACUUCGGGAAACCGGAGCUAAUACCGGAUAAUAUAUUGAACCGCAUGGUUCAAUAGUGAAAGACGGUUUUGCUGUCACUUAUAGAUGGAUCCGCGUCGCAUUAGCUAGUUGGUAAGGUAACGGCUUACCAAGGCAACGAUGCGUAGCCGACCUGAGAGGGUGAUCGGCCACACUGGAACUGAGACACGGUCCAG